This 219-nucleotide unclassified non-coding RNA is filed under the name Hevea brasiliensis (rubber tree). The record is from RNAcentral. Lineage: Eukaryota; Viridiplantae; Streptophyta; Magnoliopsida; Malpighiales; Euphorbiaceae.
GCUUAAUGACCGUUACCAGGUUUGCAAUUGCAAUUUAUGUUUUAAUUAUGCUUUUAUUUUAUGGGUAAUUUUAAUGUAAUGUGGAAUUACUAUUGGUGUCGAUCCCUGCUCCUACACAUACCUCGGGUUGAUCCAUGUUUGAGGUUUUAAAGUGUGCGAUGCAACUGGCAUAAUUAAAAUUGAAGUGUAAGCCUAAUUCAGGCGUCAGAUUUAUUGGAA